This 253-nucleotide ribosomal RNA is filed under the name uncultured bacterium. RNAcentral describes it as "partial 16S ribosomal RNA". It matches the Rfam family "Bacterial small subunit ribosomal RNA", at positions 524 to 776 of the family's 1533-position model. The record is from RNAcentral.
UACGUAGGGUGCAAGCGUUGUCCGGAAUUAUUGGGCGUAAAGAGCUCGUAGGCGGUUUGUCGCGUCUGCUGUGAAAACUCGGGGCUUAACCCUGGGCCUGCAGUGGGUACGGGCAGACUAGAGUGCGGUAGGGGAGACUGGAAUUCCUGGUGUAGCGGUGAAAUGCGCAGAUAUCAGGAGGAACACCGGUGGCGAAGGCGGGUCUCUGGGCCUUACCUGACGCUCAGGUGCGAAAGCUAGGGGAGCGAACAGG